GGAGGCGGACAGACGGCCGCCGCGCGCGAGCGCGGAGGAAAGUCCGGACACCAUAGGGCGCGGCACUCCUUAACGGGGAGCGGGAGCGAUCCCAGGGACAGUGCCACAGAAAAUAUACCGCCCCGGAAACGGGGUAAGGGUGAAAUGGCGAGGUAAAAGCUCACCGGGUCCGCGGCGACGCGGGCCGCAUGGAAAACCCUGCCGGGUGCAAGGCCGAAUAGGAAGGCGCGUCCCGCGAAAGCGGGACAGGGGACUGCCCGUCUCCGACCUUCGGGUUGGUUGCUUGACCGCGCCGGCAACGGCGCGGCUAGAGGAAUGGCCGUCACCCUUCGC
Molecule: RNase P RNA, 333 nt
Filed under: Nitrospinota bacterium
Lineage: Bacteria; Pseudomonadati; Nitrospinota
Description: partial RNase P RNA component class A
Rfam family: Bacterial RNase P class A
About the family: Ribonuclease P (RNase P) is a ubiquitous endoribonuclease, found in archaea, bacteria and eukarya as well as chloroplasts and mitochondria. Its best characterised activity is the generation of mature 5'-ends of tRNAs by cleaving the 5'-leader elements of precursor-tRNAs.
Source: RNAcentral